CACAAGCAGACGCAGCUCAGUCACAAACUGUUCAAACGAUUCGCUAGCUCCCUGUACUUUCUCAUGGAAUUUGUACCUAGCGAAAAUCCUAUUGGUCUUCGGCACAACAUAUGCUUCAAAACGAUCGUAGUAUGUUUUCAGUACCUUUGAUUCAGUCUCGGUAAGUGUCAUGUGUUAUAAAUAUCUCUCCCUUUUUCACCAAUCCAGAGGAGCAGGUGGCUGCGCUUUUCCUCUUUCCUUCAGAGGACCCGUGAACAUUAGCUCCACAUGCUGUUUGAACUUACGCCAUGCAUCGGGAAAGCCUUGAUUCCUCCACAUCCUCUCUCAUCGGCUCCUCAAAACACAUUUGUGGAGAAGGUCUGAGGGGAGGGAACUUAGACCUUCUUCUCCAAUACAGUUGAGAAGGAGGUGAGUACAUAAGAUGUUAGGAAUUGAGGAUGAAUUGAGAUAGGGCCAUUAAGUACUAUGUCAUGGGCAUCCCAAUCUUUCAGAUGGUUUAUUAAGUCCAUUCAAACUAAAGUCUUAUAAUCAAACGUAUCUAUUAGCAGCAAGCAGAAAAUCGGAUUAUUGGGGAAUAACUGGAAUCUCCGGAGACGGUUAUUGACUAGAACAUGUAGAAAGAUCUGCAUUGUGUCACGAACCAGCUCGUAACCCGUAACAAAGAGGGAGACAAUGUGGAGAUAAGGAAUAACAAAAAUAUAUUGAUUAACUGAGGUAACCUAUAUACAAAUAAACAAUGGUGUGUGUGUGUGUAGUCAGUAAUCAGUAGUGUAAUUGAGUGGUUGCGUGUAUAGAUGGGAUAAUGAGGAGUGUUGAACGAUGCCAAAGCAAACAAACCGGCCACAAAAAUGCCACAGCCAAAUUAAAAAGGUGUCUGCAUGGAGAGAGUCUCCUCAAUGAAUGGGGAAAACGUGUAUUUAUCCCGGAACACACCCGGGCCCAGGUGUGUCCCAUUUCGCUGACGACCCUCCCGGCUCCGCCCACAGACAUCCUAUUAGGAGGGUCGUCACAAUUGGCCCAGAUAGCCCUCAGGCCCUUAAUAGAAGAACAUCUAUCAUCAACAAGUUACAUAUUAUAACCAGUGGUGUGUAUUCAUGGAUGCAAAGGGAAGCCAGGCUUCCCCAAGUAUUUGACCAAUAAUUUUUUUUACAUUAUAAAAUAAUUUCUCUUUCGGCUCUCUCUGUGUUUUCAUAAUUGUACGUCAAUGGAAACAGCGCCCCUCUAUCUCAGUAUGUGUAGCCCAUGUCUCUGAUGCUGUCUUGACCAAAAGAGUAUAACAUGUUGCCGCCUUAGCAUUUUAUUGAUUGAUGCCAGCAAUCAUUUGGCCUCCCUUGAAUCAGUGUUGAGCUCAACUGUGGGUUGUCCUGGUGCAUCAAAAGCCCCCCAAGAGAGGCCAGUUUGGAUUUGGCUUCAUACCAAUCAAAUCACUUCCUUUGAAAAACAUAAUUUUCAGAAAAACGUGUCUGUUUCUGGUCUGCUUGUGUUGACGUGCUGCGGUUGCUAGCGUGCUAAAUGUAGCCUAGUAGGCUCACGUUAACUAGCUAGCUAGCUAGCUAGCUAAGUUGGUUCAUUGUUGCCCAUGCGAGGAAGUCAGGCUAGAAAGCAACCUAAACUAAAAGUGUACUGUAUGACAGAGCCAUAGACCGUUUUGCCAACAUGAAAGAGAAGAGGACGGCAUUGGCAUUCAACUAGUCUAUAAGUAGGGUGAGUAAAAAAUGCGCACGCAUGGAUGCCCAAACAUACAUACAUACACAGAAAUGAAUACCAUGGACAUCACAUGACAUUUAGCAACAUUGAUUGGACUAAAUUGUUUUUGGUAUCUUUAAGUGUAUUUUCAGUGUAUUAAAGUAAGCAUAUUUAGCCUUGUUGAUUUGAUGAUGUUUAAAUUGAAAAUGGUGCAGGGAUAGCAGUGCUCCUGUUGUCGUUGUACUGACUUGCAGUAACUCUGUGGCCCUAAAUCAGUAGUUGUUUAGUAAACUGUUGAAAACAUUAACUUGCUUGACCAUGCUGUAGGUGCUAACUAUUUGUAUGCAAUAUUUGCUAUGAUGACUUCUCCAGACAGGUGUUGCUCUCUGGUUUUGUGAUGAAACAAACGUCCGUGACGUUGAACUAACUCCGCCACUCUGUGACUGUUGUAUUUUUGUUGUCACGGCCUUGUUGUAUAUCACGUGGCGUAUGAAUGAAUUGGUUAUAGAGCAAACAGCGCAAUUAUCAUAACAUAGGUUGUAGUACGGAUUUUUACUGGAUUGGCUUCCUCAUUGAUUUGACCCACACACCACUACUGAUUGUAACAUGCUGUAAAAUGAUUGGCCACCCAGUCCUGGCACUCAGUGUGUGUGUGUGUGUGUUGGUGUAGGGUCUCCCUGCUCCAGGCCUCCAAUUACAAGCCAAACUCCUCAUCUGGAACACAGGCCAAAACACCUGUUCACAACAGCUGCUGAGAUCUCGAGGGAACAUUUUUGUGUUUGUGUCCUGAAGACACAUGUCUGAGGCCAGAGCUAAUACCUAGACAUACUGGAUGCAGAGACAUACAAAUAAUAUCCAUGCGUUCAUCUGACUUUGGGGUUUCUCAGAGUUAACCUUGGUGGUGUUGUCAGCAGAUGUCUGUGAAGAAGCAGAGUGGAGGGCAAUUUCCCCGGGGCUCCAAACUCUUCUGUGUUGGGCUGGGAUGGUCUCGGCUGGACUAGGCUGGGGAGAGAGGCAAUGAGGUGGGCAGAGGGACAGUAAUGAUGUGCAAUAUUCUUUCCAGUUGUUGACAGUAUGAGGACAUGUUCUCUGAAAUACACUAACAUACAGUACAUUUUUGACAGAAUGGGUUUCAAUAAUAUGGAUCGGAGGAUGAGGUAUACUCCCUGGGAAACAGUGACAAGUGUUAGUCCUGGCUAAAAUAAAUAAAGUGUUACAAUUAGGUAAUGGGAGUAUACUAUUUGUAUUUAUUAUGAAUCCCCACCCCCAGCUACACUUCCUGUGGUCCGGCAAAAUGAAGGCAGUUAUACAAUUUCAAAAACAUUACAAUACAUUCACAAAAGAUUUCACAACAUAUUAAGUGUGUGCCCUCAG
This is a long non-coding RNA of Salvelinus namaycush (lake trout), 3060 nucleotides long. RefSeq lists it as uncharacterized. Lineage: Eukaryota; Metazoa; Chordata; Actinopteri; Salmoniformes; Salmonidae. The record is from RefSeq and is a predicted model, not a curated record. The transcript is spliced from 3 exons.